AUUGAACGCUGGCGGCAUGCCUAACACAUGCAAGUCGAGCGAGCGGCGGACGGGUGAGUAAUGUCUGGGGAUCUUCCCGAUCGAGGGGGCUAACUACUGGAAACGGUGGCUAAUACCGCAUACUAUCGGAUUAACCCAUAUGGGAUUAGCUAGUAGGUGGGGUAAAUGCUCACCUAGGCGACGAUCCCUAGCUGGUCUGAGAGGAUGAUAAGCAACACUGCGACUGAGACACGGCCCAGACUCCUACGGGAGGCAGCCGGGGGGAAUAUUGCACAAUGGGCGCAAGCCUGAUGCAGCCAUGCCGCGUGUGUGAAGAAGGCCUUAGGGUUGUAAAGUACUUUCAGCGGGGAGGCGUUACUCGCAGAAGAAGCAACGGCAAACUACGAGCCAGCCGCCGCGGUAAUUC
This 406-nucleotide ribosomal RNA is filed under the name uncultured bacterium. RNAcentral's name for it is "partial 16S ribosomal RNA". It matches the Rfam family "Bacterial small subunit ribosomal RNA", at positions 30 to 526 of the family's 1533-position model. The record is from RNAcentral.